ACCUCGGUGUGUAGUGAUAGCACCGUCCCCGGUAUGGAUGAAACGCGGGUUCGAGUCCCGCCUGAGGUC
Parelaphostrongylus tenuis is the source of this 69-nucleotide non-coding RNA. NCBI's taxonomy places the organism in Eukaryota, Metazoa, Nematoda, Chromadorea, Rhabditida, Metastrongylidae. The record is from the annotation of a GenBank genome assembly.